UAGUAUUUACUGUGGGUUUGGGCAGCACAGGGUAAAAACCUAAAGCCUGUGGGACUGUCUUAUGCAAUCUUCUGAGAACUGAAAACCUGAUCACCUGCACUACUACCACUGAAGGAACAGAAGACCAGAAGCAUAAAAAAGAUCUCCCUCUGCCACCAAGGCUGGAGUGCAGUGGCACUAUCAUAGUUUGCUGAAUCCUUGACCUCCUGGGCUGAAGCAAUCCUCCUGCCUCAGCCUCCUGAGUAGCUAGGACUACAGGUACGUGCCAAUACAUUAGGCUAAUUUCUUAAAUUUUUAGUACAGACAAAGUUUCUCUAUGUUGCCUAUGCCGGUCUCGAACUCCUAAGCUCAAGCAAUC
Molecule: long non-coding RNA, 358 nt
Filed under: Homo sapiens (human)
Lineage: Eukaryota; Metazoa; Chordata; Mammalia; Primates; Hominidae
Description: HSALNT0015742
Source: RNAcentral